This 713-nucleotide long non-coding RNA is filed under the name Ananas comosus (pineapple). RNAcentral's name for it is "long non-coding RNA (ACOM_LNC001213)". Lineage: Eukaryota; Viridiplantae; Streptophyta; Magnoliopsida; Poales; Bromeliaceae. The record is from RNAcentral.
AAAAAGGCUUUUUGCAAUCCUAGUCUCCUUCUAAGUCUUCUAAACAUAUAAAUAAGCCAUGGGGGUCAUCUUAAAGUUUAAGACUUUGAAUUUCUACUGAUUCUAAACCCUAGAAACUUGUUUUUCCCGUUCUUAUGGAUCUAUUCUAAUAACAAGUUUCUAAUAAUCAAUAUCGACUUGAUUCUUCGUUUUUACUCGAGAUCUUAUACGAGAAUCAAGUAGAUGUUUAAUUAAAAGGUAGACCCUCAUCGCUUAUGGGAUUCUAAGGCUUAAUCACCAUAAAUCUUCGAUUCUCCAAGCUCCGGAAGGAGAUUCGGCGCGUGGAUCUCGCGUGAAGCCGAGGAUUCGGUGGACGCUUCGAGGAGUUGAGGCGUUGAAGUUGCAAGGAGUUGUGACGAGGUCGAUUGGAGGAUUCCUAUCGAUCAAGGACUGGCGAAGAUCACCAUCAAGGGGAAUUCGGUAAAUUGAGUCGUGUAUUUUUGUCAAAAUCACUUGUACUCAAGUUUUCUUAGUGGAUUUUCUUUGCGUGAUCGGUCCCGUGGGUUUUUCACUCCGGUUUGGAGUUUUCCCACGUUAAAUUCUCGGUGUGCUGUUUUAUUUUCCGCUAUUUCGUUUUAUUUGCAUCGAGAUUUUUGUGUUUGCCGUUUUUACACCUAUUCACCCCCCUCUAGGUGUUACUUACCUUUUAGAUCCUCGGGAUCCAUAUCUUACAG